RNAcentral lists this ribosomal RNA (253 nucleotides) under uncultured bacterium. Its description in RNAcentral is "partial 16S ribosomal RNA". It matches the Rfam family "Bacterial small subunit ribosomal RNA", at positions 524 to 776 of the family's 1533-position model. The record is from RNAcentral.
UACGGGGGGAGCAAGCGUUGUUCGGAUUUACUGGGCGUAAAGCGCACGUAGGCGGUCCUCUAAGUCGGGUGUGAAAGCCCGGGGCUUAACCCCGGAAGUGCACUCGAAACUGGAGGGCUUGAGUAUGGAAGAGGGUCUCGGAAUUCCCGGUGUAGAGGUGAAAUGCGUAGAUAUCAAGAGGAACACCUGAGGUGAAGACGGGUUGCUGGGCUGACACUGACGCUGAGGCGCGAAAGCCAGGGGAGCAAACGGG